This 298-nucleotide ribosomal RNA is filed under the name Umbra limi (central mudminnow). RNAcentral describes it as "partial large subunit ribosomal RNA". It matches the Rfam family "Bacterial large subunit ribosomal RNA", at positions 2076 to 2514 of the family's 2925-position model. Lineage: Eukaryota; Metazoa; Chordata; Actinopteri; Esociformes; Umbridae. The record is from RNAcentral.
ACAUAAAAACAUAAGACGAGAAGACCCUAUGGAGCUUUAGAUAUUAGACAGAUCUUGUUAAACAAACCAAAAUAAUGGCAUAAACAUAAAGAUUUCUAGUCUACUUGUCUUUGGUUGGGGCGACCACGGAGGAAAAUAAAGCCUCCAUGAGGACUGAGGGCAGUGCCCUCACAACUAAGAGCCACAACUCUAAGUACCAGAAUUUCUGACCCAAAUGAUCCGACAAAUGUCGAUCAACGAACCAAGUUACCCUAGGGAUAACAGCGCAAUCCCCUCCUAGAGUCCCUAUCGACAAGGG